This 490-nucleotide ribosomal RNA is filed under the name uncultured bacterium. RNAcentral's name for it is "partial 16S ribosomal RNA". It matches the Rfam family "Bacterial small subunit ribosomal RNA", at positions 30 to 507 of the family's 1533-position model. The record is from RNAcentral.
AUUGAACGCUGGCGGCAGGCCUAACACAUGCAAGUCGAACGGUAACAGGAAGCAGCUUGCUGCUUUGCUGACGAGUGGCGGACGGGUGAGUAAUGUCUGGGAAACUGCCCGGUGGAGGGGGAUAACUACUGGAAACGGUAGCUAAUACCGCAUAACGUCGCAAGACCAAAGAGGGGGACCUUAGGGCCUCUUGCCAUCGGAUGUGCCCAGAUGGGAUUAGCUAGUAGGUGGGGUAACGGCUCACCUAGGCGACGAUCCCUAGCUGGUCUGAGAGGAUGACCAGCCACACUGGAGCUGAGACACGGUCCAGACUCCUACGGGAGGCAGCAGUGGGGAAUAUUGCACAAUGGGCGCAAGCCUGAUGCAGCCAUGCCGCGUGUAUGAAGAAGGCCUUCGGGUUGUAAAGUACUUUCAGCGGGGAGGAAGGGAGUAAAGUUAAUACCUUUGCUCAUUGACGGUACCCGCAGAAGAAGCACCGGCUAACUACGUG